UGCCCAGUGCCCGCCGUCCUCACCUGGCCAGCGGGACGCGCCCGGGAACCCCGCACGCGGGCGGGCCGCCUCUUUGUUAGCAAGUUUGCCUUUCUGUGAUUCAGAGCACGCGGAGCGAAUUAAGUGGAGUGAGGGGUACUGUGCGACUGUCUGCGGGAAACCUGCGGGGAGCGCGGGAAGGGAUGGACUUGAUGAGCCGCGGCGCAGCGGCUUUCAAACCUCCCCGCGCUCCGCAGCCCCCAGCCCCCGCCCUACCCGCCCUCUCAGAUCCCUCUGUCUCCUGCCUAGGUCGGCCCCUGGGAGAGGUUGGCUCCUGGGGGUUCCCAGGGACUUUAGGGACAAGGUUUGAUGACAUAGAGCUUCCCCACGCCCCCUUCCUCCCCUCCCCUCAUCCUCCGCCCCGCGACUCCCAUCACUGCCCUGUCCCUCUCAGGGUCCUGGGGACCAUCGGCCCUGCAUUCCCUGGGCUCAGGGAGAAUCAAGAUUCUUCCUAAUCUGGAGCAAAAAGAGUAGACGGUAGGGCCCAGCUGUCCCUGCCUGCACCCAGUGGAGGUGCAAAGCUGUCCCUAAGUGGGUCUGUCCUAGCAGUGGGGCGUGCAUUGUGGGUUAUUUCCCAGAGCAACGGUGGCCUUGUGCUUAUCCAACCAUGUUCUUUUGAAACUUGACUGCAGCGAGCCGGGUUAUCCAUAUACCAGGUUGCUAGGUCAGGGAGGCCGCUACUGGGGGGCAGGGAACGCGAAGCACGCCACUGUGCCCCAGAGCACCAGUGCUCUCAAUGCCGCAGCUGACCGCUGGGAAAGGCUUCGCACAGGGCCAUGCGGGAAGGAGAUGACAGCCACAGUCCCCUGAGAUGAAGACCUGAAUGCAGAAGCUGCCGCGAAGGAGUCCCCAGAGCUUGCUGUGCGCGGUGCAGGAGGAGGAGUGUGCUGGGGGUGAGUGAGGUCUAUGGGGGUAAGCCCCCCCGCCUCCCCGUAGACCUCCUGGAAUGCCUGGAACAGCUCAGCAACCUGGGCACAGGUGGCUUGAGACAACCUAGCCAUUCGGGCCUGCUGCCAGAGUGAACGCCACAGGGAGGCCUGCCGGGUCUGGGGAGCAUGAGCUGGUCAGGCCCCCAGUAGACCCCUUGCAGGCUGAUCUCCAUCUCCAUGCAGAGUCUGUAUCCUAGAAAUCCAACCUGAGAUCCUGCGGCACCGAGAAAGGGAAGCUGUUUCAAGAGAUAGGAAUUGUCAGAAAAAGCCGGAGAAGGUGGUGUUAAAGGAAAACAUUGAGAAUGGGGAGUGAAGACGAGGGUUUUUCGUAGCAGAAGAUGGAUCUUCGAAAGCCAGGAGGCAGAGGAGAGCAACGCUGUCGGUGAGAUAAAGCUGGAGAUUUCUGCUACGUGCAGCACAUACUGCUAAUCCUCUCUCAUCUCCAGGAAGUUUUCAAAAACCUGCUUCUGUAACUAGUGGACAGGUCUUCUGGAUCCAAGGUCACCUGCUGGGGAGAAAGAGAAGCCUUUGGAUAAACAUCACAAGUUUUCCUGGAACAUGGAUUUUAUUUAAGAUUUUUUGGAAAGAAGGGAAUAAGGUUUUUACCUUUGUAAUGUUUUUACAAAUAUUUUCAAAAGUGUAACAUGUAUAUGUGCUCAUUUUAGAAAAUUUGAUCAGUAUAAAAUAUUAAAGAAGAAAGUAAAAGCUCAUUUGGAAUCUUAUCUGUUGGAAGGAAUCACUGUCUUGCUAUAUGUUGGUGAAUAUCCUUUUGAUGAUGUGUAUGUGUGUCAGUGUGUGUUUGUAACUUGAAUUUUUAAAGUUUGAGAAUAUAUUCUAGUCGUCUU
Molecule: long non-coding RNA, 1813 nt
Filed under: Homo sapiens (human)
Lineage: Eukaryota; Metazoa; Chordata; Mammalia; Primates; Hominidae
Description: HSALNT0184370
Source: RNAcentral